RNAcentral lists this ribosomal RNA (406 nucleotides) under uncultured bacterium. Its description in RNAcentral is "partial 16S ribosomal RNA". It matches the Rfam family "Bacterial small subunit ribosomal RNA", at positions 28 to 526 of the family's 1533-position model. The record is from RNAcentral.
GAUGAACGCUAGCUACAGGCUUAACACAUGCAAGUCGAGGGACCGGCGCACGGGUGAGUAACACGUAUCCAACCUGCCCUUUACUCGGGGAUAGCCUUUCGAAAGAAAGAUUAAUACCCGAUAUAAAGGAUGGGGAUGCGUUCCAUUAGGUUGUUGGUGAGGUAACGGCCCACCAAGCCUUCGAUGGAUAGGGGUUCUGAGGGGAAGGUCCCCCACAUGUGAACUGCGACCCGGUCCAAACUCCGACGGGGGGCAGGAGGGAUGAAGAUUGGUCAAUGGGCGUUAGCCUGAACCAGCCAAGUAGCGUGAAGGAUGAAGGCUUAUUGGUCGUAAACUUCUUUUAUAUAAGAAUAUGUAUUAUAUGAAUAAGGAUCGGCUAACUCCGUGCCAGCAGCCGCGGUAAUAC